CUGAGUUGUCUCGUCUUCGAGACCCUCUCACACUUGCAUUGCAUCAAUGUCCUUUCGGCAAAGCGCGACGUAGUCGCCGCUGGCUCUCGUCUCGAGACCGCGAGUCUUUGCCGGAGUCCACAACUCGUCGAAUCUUGACAUAGUCUGUUCAAAUUCAAAUUGAAACA
This 167-nucleotide unclassified non-coding RNA is filed under the name uncultured fungus. Its description in RNAcentral is "sequence contains ITS1, 5.8S rRNA gene". The record is from RNAcentral. Lineage: Eukaryota; Fungi.